UGGGGAAUAUUGCACAAUGGGCGCAAGCCUGAUGCAGCAACGCAGCGUGAACGAUGAAGGUCUUCGGAUCGUAAAGUUCUGUUGCAGGGGAAGAUAAUGACGGUACCCUGUGAGGAAGCCCCGGCUAACUACGUGCCAGCAGCCGCGGUAAUACGUAGGGGGCUAGCGUUAUCCGGAUUUACUGGGCGUAAAGGGUGCGUAGGUGGUCUUUCAAGUCGGUGGUUAAAGGCUACGGCUCAACCGUAGUUAGCCUCCGAAACUGGAAGACUUGAGUGCAGGAGAGGAAAGUGGAAUUCCUAGUGUAGCGGUGAAAUGCGUAGAUAUUAGGAGGAAUACCGGUGGCGAAGGCGACUUUCUGGACUUUUACUGACGCUCAGGUACGAAAGCGUGGGGAGCAAACAGG
RNAcentral lists this ribosomal RNA (403 nucleotides) under Verrucomicrobiota bacterium. RNAcentral's name for it is "Verrucomicrobia bacterium partial 16S ribosomal RNA". It matches the Rfam family "Bacterial small subunit ribosomal RNA", at positions 355 to 776 of the family's 1533-position model. Lineage: Bacteria; Pseudomonadati; Verrucomicrobiota. The record is from RNAcentral.